This 483-nucleotide ribosomal RNA is filed under the name Agelena labyrinthica. RNAcentral's name for it is "partial 16S ribosomal RNA". Lineage: Eukaryota; Metazoa; Arthropoda; Arachnida; Araneae; Agelenidae. RNAcentral also lists the same sequence under 1 other name. The record is from RNAcentral.
UCGCCUGUUUUUCAAAAACAUUUCUAAUAGAAAUAAUUAUUAGUAAAAUCUGCUCAAUGAAAUUUAAAUAGCCGCAACUUUGUUGUGCUAAGGUAGCAUAAUCAUUUGUUUUUUAAUUAAAAACUAGAAUGAAAGAUUUAACAUUUUUAUCUCUAUCAUUAAUAAAUUUAUUUAAAUUUAUCCUAAAUAUAAAAAGAUAUUUAUAAAAUAAAAAGACGACAAGACCCUAUUGAACUUAACUAAGGUUAAACUGGGGCAGUUAAUUAAUUAAUAUUUUAAUUCUUUUUAAUAAAAAAAAAUAGCUAAUAAAAUUAAUAUAAUCAAGUUACCAUAGGGAUAACAGCGUAAUAAUUUUCUUAAGCUCUUAUUUAAAAAAUAGUUUGCGACCUCGAUGUUGAAUUAAUUACCUAAUAAAUGCAACAAUUUAAUAAAGGAAGUCUGUUCGACUUUUAAUUAAUUACAUGAUCUGAGUUCCAAACCGGA